Molecule: small nuclear RNA, 106 nt
Organism: Cricetulus griseus (Chinese hamster)
Lineage: Eukaryota; Metazoa; Chordata; Mammalia; Rodentia; Cricetidae
Source: Ensembl
GUGCUCAUUUUGGCAGCACAUGCACCCAAACUGGAACAAUACAGGGCUGAUUAGCAUGAGAGCUGCCAAGGGUGACACACACGUUUGUAAAGCAUUCCAUAUUUUU